Molecule: ribosomal RNA, 329 nt
Filed under: uncultured eukaryote
Lineage: Eukaryota
Description: partial 18S ribosomal RNA
Rfam family: Eukaryotic small subunit ribosomal RNA
Source: RNAcentral
CCCUUAGAUGUUCUGGGCCGCACGCGCGCUACACUGACAGAGCCAACGAGUUCUUCACCUUGGCCGGAAGGUCUGGGUAAUCUUGUUAAACUCUGUCGUGCUGGGGAUAGAGCAUUGCAAUUAUUGCUCUUCAACGAGGAAUGCCUAGUAAGCGCGUGUCAUCAGCACGCGUUGAUUACGUCCCUGCCCUUUGUACACACCGCCCGUCGCUACUACCGAUUGAAUGGCUCAGUGAGGCCUUCGGACUGGCCCAGGGAGGUUGGCAACGACCACCCCGAGCCGGAAAGUUCGUCAAACUCGGUCAUUUAGAGGAAGUAAAAGUCGUAACA